This 68-nucleotide transfer RNA is filed under the name Bemisia tabaci. RNAcentral's name for it is "tRNA-Ile". The record is from RNAcentral. Lineage: Eukaryota; Metazoa; Arthropoda; Insecta; Hemiptera; Aleyrodidae.
UUUAGAAUGCCUGAUAAAAGGGUUAUUAUGAUAUAAUAACUUAUGUAAUUUAGAAAUUACUUCUAAAG